RNAcentral lists this ribosomal RNA (472 nucleotides) under uncultured bacterium. RNAcentral describes it as "bacterial SSU rRNA". It matches the Rfam family "Bacterial small subunit ribosomal RNA", at positions 28 to 507 of the family's 1533-position model. The record is from RNAcentral.
GACGAACGCUGGCGGACGUGCCUAACACAUGCAAGUCGAGCGGAGGUACAAUGAGAGCAAUCGAGAUGUACUUUAGCGGCGGACGGGUGAGUAACGCGUGAGCAACCUGCCUAUCACAGGGGGAUAAGGCGGCGAAAGCCGCUCUAAUACCGCAUGAGACCCUCAAAGCGAUGCAAUGGGGGUGAAAGGAGCGAUCCGGUGAGAGAUGGGCUCGCGUCCGAUUAGGUAGUUGGUAGGGUAAGGGCCUACCAAGCCAAUGAUCGGUAGCCGGCCUGAGAGGGUGAACGGCCACAUUGGAACUGAGAGACGGUCCAAACUCCUACGGGAGGCAGCAGUGGGGAAUAUUGGGCAAUGGGCGGAAGCCUGACCCAGCAACGCCGCGUGAGGGAAGAAGGUUUUCGGAUUGUAAACCUCUGUUCUUGGGGAAGAGGAGGAGACGGUACCCAAGGAGGAAGCCCCGGCUAACUACGUG